Molecule: non-coding RNA, 73 nt
Filed under: Rhizobium gallicum
Lineage: Bacteria; Pseudomonadati; Pseudomonadota; Alphaproteobacteria; Hyphomicrobiales; Rhizobiaceae
Also listed under: 1 other name
Source: RNAcentral
UUCGAGGAAAUGCGAUUCUGUUCGUGCUAAAGAGACAGAAGGGCUUCCACGACGGCAACGUUGAGGGGGCUCU